Molecule: ribosomal RNA, 465 nt
Filed under: uncultured bacterium
Lineage: Bacteria
Description: partial 16S ribosomal RNA
Rfam family: Bacterial small subunit ribosomal RNA
Source: RNAcentral
GACGAACGCUGGCGGCGUGCUUAACACAUGCAAGUCGAACGGAAAGGCCCUGCUUGCAGGGUACUCGAGUGGCGAACGGGUGAGUAACACGUGGGUGAUCUGCCCUGCACUUCGGGAUAAGCCUGGGAAACUGGGUCUAAUACCGGAUAGGAGCCAUUUUUAGUGUGAUGGUUGGAAAGUUUUUUCGGUGUAGGAUGAGCUCGCGGCCUAUCAGCUUGUUGGUGGGGUAAUGGCCUACCAAGGCGGCGACGGGUAGCCGGCCUGAGAGGGUGGACGGCCACAUUGGGACUGAGAUACGGCCCAGACUCCUACGGGAGGCAGCAGUGGGGAAUAUUGCACAAUGGGCGCAAGCCUGAUGCAGCGACGCCGCGGGGGGGAGGACGGCCUUCGGGUUGUAAACGCCUUUCGCUAGGGACGAAGCUUUUUGUGACGGUACCUAGAUAAGAAGCACCGGCUAACUACGUG